UGCCACUAUUGUACCUUAAGAUCAUUGUGU
RNAcentral lists this non-coding RNA (30 nucleotides) under Mus musculus (house mouse). The record is from RNAcentral. Lineage: Eukaryota; Metazoa; Chordata; Mammalia; Rodentia; Muridae.